AGGCUUACCAGGCUAUUAGUUUAUUUAAAUAUUUUGCAGUUGAUCUCGAGAAAAUGAGUAAGCUUGCCCACCGUACACCCAAUCGUACAUUCUCUAAUGGAAAUGGAGUCAUCAUCACCUGAAGUCAGAGAAAGAACUAGAUAACUAGAUGUUUUGUUCUGUGCAGAUUUUUCACAGAAGCAAAUCAAUUCGAGUACAUCUUCAGUAAUAAGGCAAUCAAUCGGACAGUGCUGAGGACAGGAAAUAUUAAAUAUUUCCGCACAGUAUGCUCCGCAUCAAUUAUGUUUAUUCCUUAUGAUAUGCCAUAGCAGAUCUCUGCUGUUUCACAUCGGGCUAUUGUGAGUGAAUUCAAUGGAAAUGGCGGCUGUGGGUGUGGCAACAAUGAAUUCAGGCUCACAAUAUCUAAAUCUUUAUUAAUUCGACUAUUUUGUGGAAUAAAUUAAAGUUAGGAAGCUACAAAUGCCUCUGGAAAAGAGCAGCCUGAAAUGUACAUUUAUUGCUGAUCUCGGCGUGGAUCUGAAGUCGAGACAGUCAAAGAAAUUACCAGGAUUGCCGCGUGACAAUGGGGCCAAGUGUGUGACAGUUCCAUUUUAGCCAUAACAAUGGCAACGGGGAGUGGGGAGUGCGAGGUGCGAGGUGGAGCGGAGCAAGCGACUCAUAAAUCAUUCGCGACAUCGAUGUCGACUAUGACGACGACUGGCAAUCGCAGCAUCUGAUUGACUACUGUCAAACGGAUGGGCGAACGGAAUCAUCGGGGCAGCCCCCGCAAACAGGAGAGGCUAUGAAAAACCUACACCGAUGCUGUUCCUCCA
Molecule: long non-coding RNA, 812 nt
Organism: Drosophila teissieri
Lineage: Eukaryota; Metazoa; Arthropoda; Insecta; Diptera; Drosophilidae
Exons: 3
Source: RefSeq, a predicted model, not a curated record